CAAAACCUGGUUGAUCCUGCCAGUAGUCAUAUGCUUGUCUCAAAGAUUAAGCCAUGCAUGUCUAAGUAUAAACAUUUAUACUGUGAAACUGCACAUGGCUCAUUAAAUCAGUUAUAGUUUAUUUGAUGGUACCUUACUACAUGGAUAACCGUAGUAAUUCUAGAGCUAAUACAUGCGUAAAGUCCCGACCUUUUG
This 195-nucleotide ribosomal RNA is filed under the name uncultured eukaryote. RNAcentral's name for it is "partial 18S ribosomal RNA". It matches the Rfam family "Eukaryotic small subunit ribosomal RNA", at positions 1 to 193 of the family's 1831-position model. The record is from RNAcentral.